Non-coding RNA from Pelobates cultripes (western spadefoot toad), 226 nucleotides. Lineage: Eukaryota; Metazoa; Chordata; Amphibia; Anura; Pelobatidae. The record is from the annotation of a GenBank genome assembly.
AUAUAAAAACAGACACACAUAAACACUGCCACACAUGCAGAUACACAGACAUACAUAAACACUGACACACAUGCAGAUGUACAGAGACACAAACACAGCUAUUCUUGCAGAUGUACAAACACAUGCAGAUACACAGACAGACGCUGACACACAUGCAGAUACACAGAAGCAAUUACUGCCACACAUCUAGAUACAGAUACACCCACUGCCACACAUGAAUGUGCAC